CAGGGAGAUGCAAGUGCGAAGGCGCAUCGCGAGCAUCUACAACAAGCGCGAGGACAAUUUCGCGUCCCUCAGAGACUACAAGGACUACCUGGAAGACGUAGAGGACAUCAUCUUCAAUCUGGUCCAAGGCAUCAAUGUGGAUG
Long non-coding RNA from Selaginella moellendorffii, 143 nucleotides. RefSeq lists it as uncharacterized. The record is from RefSeq and is a predicted model, not a curated record. The transcript is spliced from 3 exons. NCBI's taxonomy places the organism in Eukaryota, Viridiplantae, Streptophyta, Lycopodiopsida, Selaginellales, Selaginellaceae.